Molecule: long non-coding RNA, 568 nt
Organism: Lepus europaeus (European hare)
Lineage: Eukaryota; Metazoa; Chordata; Mammalia; Lagomorpha; Leporidae
Exons: 4
Source: RefSeq, a predicted model, not a curated record
GAAGUUGAUCUGCGGUCGGUCCCUGGGCGCCAUCUGGCGGCCCCCCUGGAACUGCAAGGAAACUCCGUGCGCUCCCCUCCGGCUCUCUAAUUGGCAAAUUCAGGCUGACCUGAAUUCGGGAGCUCUGCGAGGGGCAGCUGUAUCAGAUAUCUCCCUUGGAGCAAUUAUGGGAAAGGACAAUGACCCAAGCCCCUGGAACACCUCUGGUGACAAGUGCACUGCUACGGCACAGGUAUGGCAGCAGCAGUGAAGGGAUCCUGAACCAGGCACCAGCUGGGCCAGCUACUGGCAACCAGAUGCCCAGGAGAAUUCCCAACACUGCAAAGCUACAAACACAUGCAACUCUACAAAGCCAAGCUGUGUUACUAGGGAAGGUUCAGAACUCUCUCCAGCCCCAGCCCACAAGCCCAACAGAUGACAACACACACUCUGCCUGAGGAACAGGUAUGUAUUAAGGACUUCUGGUAUUUUAUAUUGACUCACAGCUUUUAAUCAUUUUCUUUAGAAAAAGCUUUCAUUUUAGGCAUUUGAGCUGCUUGUUUGGAAACAAAGAAGCUUCCUAAGCCCC